Molecule: long non-coding RNA, 515 nt
Filed under: Elaeis guineensis (African oil palm)
Lineage: Eukaryota; Viridiplantae; Streptophyta; Magnoliopsida; Arecales; Arecaceae
Description: long non-coding RNA (EGUI_LNC077613)
Source: RNAcentral
UUCCAUGUUUGAGUAUCCCUCACAGGGUAAAUGAAGAAUCUCUCCCAAAAGUACAAGAUCUAAACAGAUAUCUAUACCCUUAACAGUGGAUGUUACUGUUCCAUUGCCAUAGCUCAAGUUCAGAUAAAAUUUCUUAACCAAAUCUACAUAGGUAAUUUCUUUAAGAGAGCAGUAAAAUUUUCAACCUUGAUCUUUGAUUUUUGAACCAAUGGAGAACCUCUCUUUUUCAAAAAAUCUGAAAUCUAUAUUUUUCCCGGGUUCUACCUUUCUAACAGAUAAGAAAAUUUUACUGGGGCUUAAUGGAGACCGAGAAGAACCUGGAGCAGAUGCCGAAACAGGAAUGGAAGCAUAUGAGGUCUGAGAAGCCUGUCUCUUCCUGCGCACGCUCUCUUCCAACUCGCGGACCGACUUCCUUCUUUGUGGGAGCUUCAUUUUUGGAGCCAUUUCCACCACCAGAGUAAGCAAGGGGUCUUGGGAGGUCAAAUGUGUGAAGAGAUAGAGGGAUUUUAGAGGAA